This 466-nucleotide ribosomal RNA is filed under the name uncultured Lysobacterales bacterium. RNAcentral's name for it is "bacterial SSU rRNA". It matches the Rfam family "Bacterial small subunit ribosomal RNA", at positions 68 to 523 of the family's 1533-position model. Lineage: Bacteria; Pseudomonadati; Pseudomonadota; Gammaproteobacteria; Lysobacterales. The record is from RNAcentral.
GGUAGCACAGAGGAGCUUGCUCCUUGGGUGGCGAGUGGCGGACGGGUGAGGAAUACAUCGGAAUCUACUCUGUCGUGGGGGAUAACGUAGGGAAACUUACGCUAAUACCGCAUACGACCUACGGGUGAAAGCAGGGGAUCUUCGGACCUUGCGCGAUUGAAUGAGCCGAUGUCGGAUUAGCUAGUUGGCGGGGUAAAGGCCCACCAAGGCGACGAUCCGUAGCUGGUCUGAGAGGAUGAUCAGCCACACUGGAACUGAGACACGGUCCAGACUCCUACGGGAGGCAGCAGUGGGGAAUAUUGGACAAUGGGCGCAAGCCUGAUCCAGCCAUACCGCGUGGGUGAAGAAGGCCUUCGGGUUGUAAAGCCCUUUUGUUGGGAAAGAAAUCCAGCCGGCUAAUACCUGGUUGGGAUGACGGUACCCAAAGAAUAAGCACCGGCUAACUUCGUGCCAGCCGCCGCGGUAA